AAAUACCAACAUUACAUGAUUUAACUAAACUGAAUAGAUUGUCGUAAUGUAACUGUUAACAACUUUACAUUAGAACCAUGGUAACUAAUAAAUACAUGUACAUGUGGCAUAUUCCUAUAUAAUAGUUUCUUAAACUGGAAAUAGGUAAUCAUGAACAGACUUCCAUAAUCUCGCUGAUUCGUCCAGUGCUCAACUUCUUGAACGAACAACCUGUUACCUAUAAUCAAUAAUCGUGGGGUGAGACUACUAAGCCUCAGUGAAUUUCUUACUACCCACUACUUGGUGUGCUAACACCGGGGGUCAUGAAAAUAGCUGAUCACUGAGAAACAUAUAUUCAUUAAAGAAUAACAUAACAUAAAUAAAAGUGUAUCACACAAAUAUAAUCUUAUUCAUUUUACAGGAAGCUUUCGAGGUGAGUAUGUCUCGAAAGGUCCACUAAGGAUGUUCUCCACUCAGGAUGUCCUCCACUUAGGAUGUUCUCCUCUACCCGUAAUGACAUAGCUAUGCCACGUUGGUCUUACUCACAUUAAUUACUUAACAGAUUUUCACUAAUGUACGGAAAACCUCUCAUAGCAUAAAGCUGUACUAAUAAGUGGUUUGGGAAUUAACCACUAUUGAUCAACUAUUCUAAUCAACUAACUUAACAUAAUAACCCAUUCCCGGGGAGCUUACAUGCAUAGUUCUAGUUUUGAUUUCUACUUAUACUCAUAUUUUAGAGCAUGUACGUUUCGGUUCCAUCCAAGAUGAUUAGGUACUUCGUAUUUUAAAACUGUUUUGCACCGGCUCAAGAUGGACUUACACCGGUGCAUUAGUGCUUCUGGAUAGUUAGGGACUAUUCUGAGUUUUUCUUCCAUCGAUUCAAAAGUACUAAAAAUAUCUUGAUUUUCCUGGAGACCUUGUAUCGACUCAAGCCAUGCUUGCACCGGUUCAACUUACCCAGAAUUUCCAAUCUGCACUCUGUGACCUCUUGCACCGGUUCAUCAUAAUAAUUUACCGGCUCAACAUGCCAAGACUGCCCAUUGUACUCAUUCCUGGACUGGUUGAACAGGCUCAACCAAGUCUUGCACCAAUGCAAGAUCGUGAAAAAGUGUGGAAAACCUAUAGAAUCAUACUCCAAACAGCCCUAGUUGUCUCUAACCAUUUCUAACACCCUAAUCAUCAUAGAUAUAACCAACACAGUCACAUACAAUGGGGAAUUAAGUUCAAUUUCAUUAUUAAUCCAUUUAUGAGUUGUCUAAAUUGCUAAUCAUGUUAUAAACAUAAAUAAUGAAAUCAAAACCCUAUGCUUUGGACUUAUGGUUGCCAUGUCUCUACUUAAAGAAACCCACCUGAAAUUGAAGUUGAACCGCACUAUCAACAUCUCCGGAACUCGCCAAAAUGCAGAAUUUGCAUAUAAGGUACUUCAAAUUCGUAUAGAGAAUUUUCUGCAUAAAAUCCAUAUCAAACCCUCAACUUCAGAAGCCUUCCGAGAAUUCAAUAUUUAUCACCAAAUUACAAAUUUGGUACUCAAUCGAAGGGAAUUUCGUCAGCUUUCCAUAGGAACAAACGGAAUUUAAAUCGGAGUUACCAGGAGUGAGUACUGACCGUUUUAGUGGAGACAUAUCCUCAAACACGAAAAUCACAUAAUUUCCUCCAAAACUUGAAAUACACAAGCCCAAGUGAAAUCUACACAUGCAGUGGCUAGAGCUUAGUUUACAACACUCCAAAGCUUGAAUCAAAAGAGGAAUUUCAAUCAUCCAUGACUUGAAAUUGUGAAAUUAUGAAAGAUUGAAGAUUUGGGGUUUCAACUAAAACAAGGAGAAAUGGUGAAAUCAAGAGGUUUCUUCUUCUAUUGAUUGUCCCUUAACAAUCUAGCUUCAUGAUUAUGCAAGGUAAUCUCACAUGCAAAUAUGAUAAAAGGAAAUGGGUUGGUUUUUUUGCCCUUUGAAGAAGAAGAAUACGAGAGAGAAGUUGUUGUUGUUGCUGAGGACGUGAGAGAGAGAAAUAGAG
RNAcentral lists this long non-coding RNA (1989 nucleotides) under Trifolium pratense (red clover). RNAcentral's name for it is "long non-coding RNA (TPRA_LNC008493)". Lineage: Eukaryota; Viridiplantae; Streptophyta; Magnoliopsida; Fabales; Fabaceae. The record is from RNAcentral.